GUUCAUUAGAUACUUUAGAAUGUAUUGCUUAGUUAACUUAUGAAAAAAUAAUUUAUACUAGUGACAGACCUUUAAGGAGAUGUAGAGAUUUUCUAAGGGCCAAUAAGACAAAUAGAAAUUAAAAAAAAGAAUCUUAUGGGUCUAGUAUAUAUAUUUUAAGAGAGUAAUGACUAUUCUUUACCCAUUCUAGGUAAAAUAGGGUUAUAGUGUAAAUUUGUAAAGCAUAAUCUUUUAACUCUAGAUAGAAAGAACUUUCUAGGAUUUUUCUUUGGGGGAUUCGUUUGGCAGCCCCCCUUAUCUCUCAAAGUCUUGUCCUCCUCCUUCAUCUAUCAAACACCAUUGAAGAGCUCAACACAUAUACAUGCAACUCUUUUUCCAUCAUUAAAAUUUAAGUUUUAAAAUAUUAAAACAUAUUUACUUACCUAUUGAAGGAAGAUUUGGAUUUUACCUUCAAGAAUCAAGAUGGAAUGAGCUUAUUUUGGAAACCCUAGGUUUUGGAUUUUGUGGAGAAACUCUCUCAAACUUGCAGUUUGAUCCUCAUAAGCCAGUUAUUGAAGGCAUUGCUAGUUGCAUUCGUAGUAAAUUUGAGCUGGCUAAACCUUCUUGGAAGAAAUUCCCACAACCUACUCGGGAUAUAUGGUUUGAAGAAUUCAAGAUGGCUCCCUCAUUAUAAUGAUGCUAUACAACACAAUUUUGAGAAAAGGGCAUCUUCAAGAAUGAUCCAACUUUUUCAAGAUGUUAGAAAGGACUUGUCUGUGAUGAAGCCAAAUUGGAUAGGUGAUGCAGUAUUCAAGGAGAUGAAGGAGCAUUGGGAGUCUCCUCAAUUUAAGUUAAAGUCGGAAUAAAAUAAAAAGAAUCGCGGUGCAAAUGCAGGUGCCUCGGUUCAUACAGGUGGUUGUAUACUUCAUCGCGUGAUUUGGAAGAGAUUGAAGGAAGCUACUGGAAAAGAUCCUUCAUUUUUAGAAUUUUAUUUUCACACUCAUCGAAAGGAGAAAGAUAAAAGUUGGAUAAAUGAGAAAGUUGAAGGUGCUUAUAAUAAGUUUGAAAAAAAGAAAGAAGAAUUAUUAGCUUUCCUAAAGUGCAUCUGUUGAUGGAGAAACUAAUUCAGCUAGCGAGCUAUCUCAAUUAGGUGAAAUGGAUAUUUGAGUGCUAUCAGUUGGUAGAAAGAAAAAAGGAAGAGUUGCAGGUCUUGGCUCUGUAGAUGAGUAUGAUUAGGAUUGAGAUACUUGGUAGUACUAUUUAAGAUUUACAGUUAAGACUUUUCAUUUUCAUCUUCGGAAGACAAUCAAGAUUCAGAGUGACAAUGAUGAUAACAACAACUCUGUAGAUGAGUAUGAUUAGGAUUGAGAUACUUGGUAGUACUAUUUAAGAUUUACAAUUUAGACUUUUUAUUUUUUUCAUUUAGGAAUUAUCCAUUAUUAUUUAU
Long non-coding RNA from Nicotiana tabacum (common tobacco), 1426 nucleotides. RefSeq lists it as uncharacterized. The record is from RefSeq and is a predicted model, not a curated record. Lineage: Eukaryota; Viridiplantae; Streptophyta; Magnoliopsida; Solanales; Solanaceae.